GUAGGUGGCAAGCGUUGUCCGGAAUUAUUGGGCGUAAAGCGCGCGCAGGCGGUUCUUUAGGUCUGAUGUGAAAGCCCACGGCUCAACCGUGGAGGGUCAUUGGAAACUGGAGAACUUGAGUACAGAGGAGGAAAGCGGAAUUCCACGUGUAGCGGUGAAAUGCGUAGAGAUGUGGAGGAACACCAGUGGCGAAGGCGGCUUUCUGGUCUGUAACUGACGCUGAGGCGCGAAAGCGUGGGGAGCAAGCAGGAUUAGAUACCCUGGUAGUCCACGCCGUAAACGAUGAGUGCUAAGUGUUAGGGGGGUUUCCGCCCCCCUUAGUGCUGCAGCUAACGCAUUAAGCACUGCGCCUGGGAGUACGGCCGCAAGGCUG
This 373-nucleotide ribosomal RNA is filed under the name uncultured organism. RNAcentral describes it as "partial 16S ribosomal RNA". It matches the Rfam family "Bacterial small subunit ribosomal RNA", at positions 527 to 896 of the family's 1533-position model. The record is from RNAcentral.